This is a non-coding RNA of Oryctolagus cuniculus (rabbit), 4552 nucleotides long. Lineage: Eukaryota; Metazoa; Chordata; Mammalia; Lagomorpha; Leporidae. The record is from RefSeq and is a predicted model, not a curated record.
AAUGGCCUCAACGGGCUGGGCCGAUCAGAAGCCAGGGGUUCCGGGUCUCCCUCGUGGUACAGGGGCCCAAGCACCGCGGCGGGUUCCACUGCUUUCUCAGGCCAUUAGCAGCAUCAGGAACACAAACAGGUGCUGAUGGGAGCCGUUCUGAGCUCCCCCCCCCACCUCCCCGGCCUGUGGAAAAUUUGCUCUCCCGCCCUCCCAAAGCGAAGUCUAAUGGACGUUCAAGCAAUGGACAGUUCCUGACGACGGCUGUGGCGAAAGGAUGCUGGUUCUCGGUGUCGGAAGCGGCUUUCAACUCCAGCAGAGGCCUGAGCAGUUUGGGAAACCCGGGGUGGAAGAUGACAGAUUAUGAAAGCAGGCAGACCUUGCUGAGCCGUCCAGAAUGAGGCCCAAAGCAGUGCGAAGCCCAAAUGUGCUGACACCUUGCAAAUGGUCCGACAUCGCUGGAGUCUCCAGGCCAACCCCCGUGGGAAUGUUCCAUGAAUUAGGUCAGGGCUGGCAUGGGCGUCCACAGACCUAGGAAUCCCAGCCCCGUCUCACUACACAUGUGAUACUUGGAGACACCACUUGAAUCUCCUUUUAUCACUUUCUCAUCUUUAAAAAAGGGGACACUUCUUCCUAGAGCCUUAUGUUGUGCCAUUUUCCCGCUUUUUAAACCGUCUUCUCCAACAGGCUACAAAAACUUCUGUGUCUUCCUGCAGGAAAUAACGCGGUUAAAACUUUUUGCCACAUUACUAUGCAGAACGUUUUACAAAAUAUUUAUUUGGAAGAGUUGGAGAGGAAGAGACAAAGAUUUUCCAUCUGUUGGUUCAGUCCCCAGAUGGCCACAACGGCCCACACUGGGCCAGGCUUUGGGUCUCCCACGUGGGUAGCAGGGGCCCAAGGACUUGGGCCAUCUUUCACUGCUUUCCCAGGCCAUAGCAGAGAGCUGGAUUGGAAGCGGAGCAGCCAGGACAUGAACAGGCACCCACCCAUACGGGAUGCUGGCGCUGCACGCCAGCGCCACCCCCAGAACACUUUUCAAAUGUUAUCUCCAGUAGCCUUAGCAUGAUGAGUAUUGGCUUCCUUACUUUACAAAUGCUGUUAUUUCAAGACCCUGGAGCUUGCUGAAGUCAAGGCUGAUGAUUUAACUUCAAAUUUUUCAAUCCACGGGAGCCUGCGCCUAGUGGGAAAGGAUCUGGUGCUCCUUGCAGGGGUGUCUGGAAGUUAACAGAUCGGAGACUGACUUUCCAGCCAAGAAACCUAGCAGAUGCCACCUGAGCAUCAAGAUAAUAUUACCGAUAAUGGGGCCAGCGCCGCGGCUCACUAGGCUAACCCUCCGCCUGCGCGUGCCGGCACCCCGGGUUCUAGUCCCGGUUGGGGUGCCGGAUUCUGUCCCGGUUGCCCCUCUUCCAGGCCAGCUCUCUGCUGUGGCCAGGGAGGGCAGUGGAGGAUGGCCCAAGCGCUUGGGCCCUGCACCCCAUGGGAGACCAGGAGAAGCACCUGGCUCCCGGCUUCGGAUCAGUGUGAUCAGUGUGGUGCGCCAGCCGCAGCGGCCAUUUAAGGCGUGAACCAACGGAAGGCAGACUUUUCUAACUCUGUCAAAAAAAAAAAAAAUGACUGAUAAUGGGAAGAGCUAAGGGCACAUCACCUCCUCAUUGUUUUUCACAAAAUUCAAGAGCCUUAUAAUGAGGAAUGUAGUUAAACUCAAUUUGAAGGAUAUUUUACAAGGCAUCUGAUCAGUGCUCAAAAAUCUGAAGGUCAGGUGGGCGACUGACACAGCAGUUAAGAUGUUGACCGAGAUGCCUGAAUCCCACAUUGGAGUGCAUUGGGUUUCAGCUCCAGCUCUAAUGCCACUUCUGGCUUCCUGCUCAUGUGUACACUGGGAGGCAGUAUGUGAUGGCUCAAGGAGUUGGGUCCCUGCCACCCACGUUGGGGAAGCUGGUAGAGUUCCUGGCUCCAGGCUUUGGCCUGGCCUAGCCCUGGCUGUUGCUGGCACUUGGAAAGUGAAGAAGCAGAUGGGAGAUAUUUCUCUGCUUUUCAAAUAAAUAAAAUAAUCUAAAGGCCAUUAAAGACAAGGGAUGAAUGAGGAGCUGUCAUAGACUGGAAGAAACCUUAUAAAGAAAAAAGAAAAAUAUCAUUUGGUGGAAAAACUGGUGAAAUCUGAAUAAGGACUGUAGUUCAGUGUAAUUUUACCAGUGUUAAUGUACCAGUUCUGAUAACUGUACCACCACUAUGUGGGAUGUUACCGUUGGAGAAAGCUGGGUGAAGCAGGAGUUCUGCAAAAAUUAUUUCAAAAUAAAACUUUGUAGACUUGGAUACAAAGGACUGAUUAUCAAAUGCUGGAAACAUCAGGAACUCGUUUAGCAAGGGAAGAAGUGCUGCAGUGACUGGACCCCAAAACAUCCUAGAAGACAGGCCCAGGACGAUCACUGCUACCGUGCACCUGCAGAACCAGACCCUACGAAAGAGCACAAUUCCAGAAGCAGAAAAGACAAUGUUGAAGUUAUGUGCCUGGAGCCAAAAUGAAGGUGUACAGGCAGCUGGAGCUUCCUGCUGAUGUGUCCUGGGAGGCAGUAGAUGAUGACCCAAGUUCUUGGGUUCCUGACACUCAUGUGGGAGACCCAGAUUGAGUUCCAGGUCACUUCAGCCUGGCCCAGUCCUGGCAGUUUCAGGAAUUUGGAGAGUGAACCAGCAGAUGGAAGAUCUUUUGCUCAGUUUCAAAUAAAUUUAAAAAAAGUUAUUCAAAUAGAAGCUUUAUGUUUGUCAAUGGCCCCUGCAGAUGUAUUCAUCCUCAACACAGAUACCAAAUUCAAUUUCACCUGAGUAUCUCUUUCUAGUUUUUCUACUCCACAGAACAGGCUGUAACUUGCCACUUAGAAUAGCAAGCAGAGAAAGUUUAAUAGGAGUCAAUCACAGAGAAGGAUUCUCUGCAGGUGAGGAAAACCUUCUUACCCAAGACUAACAGAAAAGUGUGCAAAUGAGGGACCAAACCAGUUUAAUUAUAAACAAAGUCUUACAUCUUUUAAGGAAAGGCAAACGAACCAAUCCCCUGAAGGAACUUUAUAAAAGCACCUGGCUCUCCGUGAUAGUUGCAGGGUUACCUGAGUAUCUGAAAACAGUUCAAGAAAAUAAAGGUACUCCAAUACAGUAAUAUACAAUCCAGUGCACUAUUCCCUGUUUUUAGUUAAUGAAAACAUAUAACAAACAAUAGUGUAAAUAACUCGAAGAGAAAAGGGCAUGGGGUGGGGGGGGCUGGAGAUACCAACACUACUGAGCAGAAGUCACCCCUAGAGGAGUGAAGAAGGAUGGAGUUACAACCAAACAAAGACAGGAAUACACACUGAGGAGAGGUGUAAUUCCACGAGUCACCCUUGAUAACACUGCAGAUUAUUAACCAAAUCAAUAAAAAGCAGUACAGUGAGCUUGACUGAAAUAGUUCAUUUAGGAUGAGACCUUUGUGGGUAGCUGAGUUAUACUUCAUUAAAAUUUCUGAUGAAGCAACUUUGGCGUGUCAAUCUCUUGAUGAAAAUCAGCAGCUGAAUUUUAAAUAGAGUUAUUGUAAGUAUUAUGAAAUUGGAUUCUUCUGCACUGGCAUGAGGCCAUAAAAGACAGCAGAAAAUCAUUAUUAUGAGUUACUAGAUCAGUUUUAAACCACUCCAUUUGAUGAAACAAGUGAGGUCCUUCCCUCCUGACCCAGGCUGUGGAUCGCUAUUUUCCCCAAACCCUGAAAAGAGCAGAAAAAUAAGGCAAUUGCUCAUUUACCUUGUUUUUAUUUCAAUGUAACAUGCAGUAAAAAAAUUAACAGGAUUUAUUAGCAUUUACAAUGCUUACAAAGAAAAAGGACUUUUAAAAGCAAUUUAGUUCAGAUUUAAGAAAAGCUCUAAUUAAACACUUACAAUAAAUCUAUUUCCAAAUGUUCAGUUUGGACCAAAAUUUAAUUUAUGUCUGCUGUCUAUUUGCAGAAUUUUUAUAUAACCUCUGAUUCUUGGGAUAUCCAGCCCCCAUUUUCCUAACACAGCAGGGAAGACAUAUACAUGUGGCCACUUAAAUUAAAGGAAGAUAUGGAGUAGGGGAGAUCCCAGGCUGCAAAAAUAUAUACAAGCAUUUACCUUUUCCAGAACUAAACAUUUCUUCCAUAAAAAUAUUAAAUAGCCAAGCCCUAUAGAACUAGGGCCAGGACUACUUCAAAUAUAGCUAUUCUGUAUUUUAAAAAUAUAGGGCAGAAAGCCUUUUGGGUAAUAUUUAUACAUUUUCACACAAUAUUUCUAGGUCCCUAAGUGAAUCAUGAAGCAUUAUGCAGAACCAAAAAAAGGUCUAUUUUUUACAUUAUCUCUUAAUUUAAUCUCAUAAAUCUCUAGUAAAUAUUGCAGGAACUACAUUUCAAUAUGAGAAUUCACCUCAAUAGGAAGUCUUAAUAGAAGGCUUAAUCUCCAUAGCCACAUAUUAUCAAAGUUCAGACUUAUAUAAUGAAUGGGUAGUUGGCAGACAUUCGUUCUGUAAGACGAAGCAACAGCAUUAUUUCCCUUACCAAAAAAAAAAAGGCAGAAAGUCCCUGUUUUGGAAACAA